Molecule: ribosomal RNA, 203 nt
Filed under: Serratia marcescens
Lineage: Bacteria; Pseudomonadati; Pseudomonadota; Gammaproteobacteria; Enterobacterales; Yersiniaceae
Also listed under: 1 other name
Description: partial 16S ribosomal RNA
Rfam family: Bacterial small subunit ribosomal RNA
Source: RNAcentral
UAAUUGAAGAGUUUGAUCAUGGCUCAGAUUGAACGCUGGCGGCAGGCUUAACACAUGCAAGUCGAGCGGUAGCACGGGGGAGCUUGCUCCCUGGGUGACGAGCGGCGGACGGGUGAGUAAUGUCUGGGAAACUGCCUGAUGGAGGGGGAUAACUACUGGAAACGGUAGCUAAUACCGCAUAACGUCGCAAGACCAAAGAGGGG